AUUGAACGCUGGCGGCAGGCCUAACACAUGCAAGUCGAACGAGUGGCGGACGGGUGAGUAAUGUCUGGGAAACUGCCCGAGGGAGGGGGAUAACUACUGGAAACGGUAGCUAAUACCGCAUACCAUCGGAUGUGCCCCGAUGGGAUUGGCUAGUAGGUGGGGUAACGGCCCACCUAGGCGACGAUCCCUAGCUGGUCUGCGAGGAUGACCAGCCAAACUGGAACUGGGACACUGUCCAGACUCCGACGGGAGGCAGCAGUGGGGAAUAUUGCACAAUGGGCUCAAGCCUGAUUCAGCCAUGCCGCGUGUAUGAAGAAGGCCUUCGGGUUGUAAAGCACUUUCAGCGAGGAGGCGUUACUCGCAGAAGAAGCACCGGCUAACUCCGUGCCAGCAGCCGCGGUAAUAC
This 406-nucleotide ribosomal RNA is filed under the name uncultured bacterium. RNAcentral describes it as "partial 16S ribosomal RNA". It matches the Rfam family "Bacterial small subunit ribosomal RNA", at positions 30 to 526 of the family's 1533-position model. The record is from RNAcentral.